Molecule: long non-coding RNA, 14524 nt
Organism: Vicia villosa (hairy vetch)
Lineage: Eukaryota; Viridiplantae; Streptophyta; Magnoliopsida; Fabales; Fabaceae
Exons: 2
Source: RefSeq, a predicted model, not a curated record
UUGGGCCUUAGUCCAAACCAAAUAAAUAGGAGUUGGCUCAAUUAGUUAGUUUUUAUUCCGCAAAUAAUUAGGAGUGGCUUAGUCAGUUAGUUUUUAUCAUCCAAAUAAAUAGGAGUUAGUUCAGUUAGUAUUCCCCAUAUAAAUAGGAGUGUAUGGGGCAGUAGAUAGAAGAGAUUAUUAUUUUCGGUUUUCCUUAUUAGGGUUUAGGCAGUGAGAGAAUUGUUCUCUGACUGAGGAGCAGUAGCUCUGGAAUUCUUUUUUGUUUUCACAUUCAUUAAUAAAAUAAUUUUCUCCAUUAUAUUCUAUCUUACCUCUGUUCUAUCAAUUGGUCCGACCUACCGGAGCGUCGAGGUGCCAGCAUUUGUGUCAUUCAAAGAUGAUUGCAGAAGAAGAAGUGUUAGAAGAAGGAAUGGUUGAGAGAAUUGACGCAAUUGAAUUGAGAAUGGGAAGAUUGGAAGAAUCGGUUCAAUCCUUUAAGUUGGAGUUUCGUCAAUUGCUAAGGACAGAGAUGGCUAAGCAUGUGGGGCAUAUUCCCGCAGAGAAUCUUAGCUCUGAUUGGAGUGUGUUUCCGAUACCAAAUGUUAUGAAAGAGAACUGUGGAACAGAGUUUCAUACAGAUGCAAAGUCGGAAAAGGGAGAUGCAAUGGAAAAGAAGGAAAGCAAUGGGGUGAGCAAAGAUGUGAUCCUUGUGGCUGAGAAACCAGAGAAGGGACUGAUGAAGUCACAGAGUUUAGAGUCACUAAUAUCACCUCCAUCUCAGAAGACUUUGAUCGCGUCGUCACCGGUCAGAUAUUGUUGGAAGAGGGUCCCUCCCCAUUCCAAAUCAUCAUGUUCGUGGAAAUCAUGGAUGGAGUUUCUACAUCUGACGCAAGCCAAGGAGAAGCACGAAAAUUAUAUAUUGGUGGCUCGCACACUGCCGCCGAAACCACCAGACAUUGGUUCAUUCGUGAAGCACCUUCUAAAGCAAAAACCGUCGGCCAAGCCGCCAGAUCUCAGUGAAUCCGUGGUCAGAGAGAGAGAGUAGAGAAGAGAGGAAAAAUGAAAAAGAUGAGGUGUCGCAUGUGCAUGCGGCUGCCGCCACCAGAUCCGCCAUAUGCAAAUUACAAUAUUAGUUUAGCGUGCAUCAUGGUUGCUGAAGGAGGGAAGGAUCCAAAAAAGUUGAGGCAAAAGCGACAAUUUCAAAUGGGUUUUAAAGAGAAAAGCUGCAGACCAUCAUCAAGAGAUAGUAAGAAUGAAGAUGUGCAACAGGUUCGAUUGUUUGAAGUCGGUCUAUCAAGUUCUCAACAAUGGGAUCCAGGGAGAUGCAAAAGCUAUAGUAGUGUUGUUGUUGUUGUGUCUCAAGAAAAUGAACUCCAAGUAUGGUUUUGUGGUUUGCUGAAGUGCAAAUUUGGUCUUGUUUUAGACCCACCAUUACCUUGCAAGGGAAGUGUUUGGCAUGUCAUUGUUAUAUGUUGAAAGACAUUUUCUCAUCUCAACCUUGAGGACAAGGUUGUAUUUUUGGUUGCCGGUAUUGUUAGGAUAUUGGUUUGGGCCUUAGUCCAAACCAAAUAAAUAGGAGUUGGCUCAAUUAGUUAGUUUUUAUUCCGCAAAUAAUUAGGAGUGGCUUAGUCAGUUAGUUUUUAUCAUCCAAAUAAAUAGGAGUUAGUUCAGUUAGUAUUCCCCAUAUAAAUAGGAGUGUAUGGGGCAGUAGAUAGAAGAGAUUAUUAUUUUCGGUUUUCCUUAUUAGGGUUUAGGCAGUGAGAGAAUUGUUCUCUGACUGAGGAGCAGUAGCUCUGGAAUUCUUUUUUGUUUUCACAUUCAUUAAUAAAAUAAUUUUCUCUAUUAUAUUCUAUCUUACCUCUGUUCUAUCAGUUACAUUGAUGUUUAAUAGAAAAGUUCAGCUUUGGGGAUUCUUACCAUAACUAUUACUUUUUUUACAAAUGUUAGUUCUACAUUUGGGUUUUUGAUUACUUUUAUUUUACAAAUGUUAGUGUUCUACAUUUGGGUUUUUCGAUUACUUUUAUUUUACAAAUGUUAAUUCUGAUUACUUUUAUUUUACAAAUGUUAAUUCUGACAGGGAUUAAGUUUCCAAAUCUCCGGAGAAAUUGGGGCAGUUUGGUAGGCCUCUCUUUGUUAUGUUAAUUUGUAACUCGGGGGUUUGAAGAAUUAUGCGAUUCUUCUCUCUUUCUUCUUGGUUCUUUUUCUACAACUCAUUUGUCGCAACAUAACAUUUUUAUAUAUCUAUUAUGUGUUGACAGAGUAACCGUUACAUGGGUUUUAAUGUACUACAUGAAUUUGGGGCAGCUUGGUGGGCCUCUCUUUGUGAUGUUGAUUUGCGACUUGGUGGUUUGAUGAAUUAUGCUACUGUUCUUUCUUUCUUCUGGGUUUAAAGAAUUAUGCGAUUAUUCUCUCUUUCUUCUUGGUUCUUUUUCUACAACUCAUUUGUCGCAACAUAACAUUUUAUAUAUAUUAUGUGUUGACAGAGUAACCGUUACAUGGGUUUUCAUGUACUACAUGAAUUUGGGGCAGCUUGGUGGGCCUCUCUUUGUGAUGUUGAUCUGCGACUUGGUGGUUUGAUGAAUUAUGCUACUAUUCUUUCUUUCUUAGUUAUUUUUCUACAACCCAUUUGUCACAUUAUAUUUUUGUGUAUAUCUAUCAUGUGUUGACAGAGUAAAUGUUACAUGGGUUUUGAUGUACUACAUAAAGAUACAUAAUCAUACUGCUCCUUUUUAAUUCGUCAUCCGAAGCGGAAAAAUAUGGUAGAGUAUUUCUUCCGCUUUGUACUACUUUCCUUCUGUGAUCAAAUCAACAAGGGCAAGUGGACCAUAUUGAUAUGUGGAUGUGCAUUUUAAUUUGGUGAUCUCUAUUCAGAUUAUGAAUUCUUUACGGUUCAAUAUUUUGUUUUAUCAUACACACUUGAUUCCUAUCAUCUUUGAGAUAAAGUUAUGCAUUUUUCUAUAUUACACAAUUCUUUUCCAGUUGUGUUUCUGUAUUCGUAACAUGAAUUUUACUCUGGUAUACAAGAUUCUGAGAUAACUUCGCCCUUCAAAAAAUGAGGAAUUUUGGAUAAGUUUGUUAGGUAAGAUGAUACUCUUUUACGUUUUUACUCCUAAAAUGAUAUCAUUAGACUGGCCUAAGGGUUCCUCUGUAUUUGGGUGGAAGCUUAAAUUGUGAUGUUUCAUAUUGAGUACAAGAUCUUGUAGAUUGGAUGGAAAUGAACCAUCAUGUUUUGUAGACUUUGUUGUCAUGCUUUAAUUUAGUCAGCUCUCUACUAAGAAAGACACUUCAUAUUUCCGGUCUUUUUUAUUGAUACUCAGCAAUUACAUAAAAUCCGAUCCUGAGAAUUUUCUUGGUGGGUGUUAUAGGGGAGAGACAUGAUGAAUUUCUGGUGUUCUGUGGCCUGUAGCAAGCAGAGGUUAUCAUACUUUCCUUUCAAUCUUGGGAUAAAUCCAAUCACUUUCUUACAAUGUGUUUGUUAUGGGAUUGAGGAUAGUUGUUCUCUGAUGGUGUGUCUAGUAGUAUUGGAGUUUGUGUUUUUUUAAUCAGGAAUUGGAACAUUGAAGCAUACAAGAUUCUAGAGUAUAUAUUUAUGCCUGCACUGAAGAUGAGGAAUUCAGGAGGCUUGCUGUGUUGUUCAGUUAGUUUUCACCUUUCUUUGUUCUAUCUAUUCUUGAUUUUUAAGUUUAAUUGAUUCUUGGGAGAGAAGGAAGAGACAGUUCAUGAAUUUGUGGUGUGCUAUGGCCCUUGGCAAGCAGAGGUUACCAUACUGUCCAUUCAACCUUGGGAUAAAACUCGUCACUUUUUUAUAUAUUUGUUUAGGGAUGGGGGAUAUUUGUCCUUUGAUGGUGUGUUCUGGCAGUAUUGGAGUUUGUGUUUUUGUAUCAGGAAUGUACUGAAGAUGGGGAAUUAAUGAGGCUUGGUGCUUUUUUCUAUUAUGUUGAUUUUCAUCUUUGUGUUUUAAGUUUAACUUAUUUCUUAAGAAUCUCUAUUUUAUUUUUGUGCAGUCUUGGUUUACUUUACUCUUUUGUACAGGAGGAAUAACUUGGUGGAAUUACUUUGUCCCGCUGAGCUGCUUAGUUUGCAAAAUUACAUUUGGCAAUUUUUCCCUUUUUUAUUAUUGGCAUCUCUGUCAUAAUGAGCAGGCUUUUCUGUAGAUUGAGAAAUUUGGAAUAGCUUGUUGUAAUCACUUUGUUCCUUUGACCUGCCACUUCUAGCUUCAUGUAAGAGACAGGCAAUCUUCUCUUGAGUUAAUCCUUGUCUUUUUUUCACCUCAAAAAAUUCUAAGACAUGUAGGUUCGUGCAGUGAUAAUUCAACAUGUCAUGGUUUGGCAUCAUUCUCAAAUAUCAAUUGCUGUCUUCUUCUGUGGGUCUAAGUGUUAUGCAUUAUGUUUGAGAUAUUGAAGACUUUUCUAGAUCAGGCCGUCUGCAAAAUAUUAUAGAUGAGUGACCGAAUUAUUUCUAUCCCUAGGAGAGGAAUAUAAAGUUUGAAUUUUUUAUAAUGUUUUUUAUUGUAGUUUUUUUAUUGUAGUUUUCUUGUUGGUUUCGAUAGAGAAUGUUGCAUGGUGUGGUGUGGUGUGAGAGUUUUUGGUGGAGAUUAUAGAUAAUUUUUUGUAACUGAUGUAUGUAUUUGUUUUAGAUUAUAGAUAAUUCUCUGAUGGUAGCCUGCAGCUGUAAUCAGUGAUGCGAACAUAUAUUUUAGAAUUUUGGUCAGCUUCGAUGGACUUGGGGAUGCUUUUCUAUACCUUCAUUUAUCUGGUGAAGUGCAUAGGAUUGACUCUCUUCUUGUAGGUUGUUAUUUCUUUGAUAUUUGCUUCAUAGAACACCACAUAUUUCUUAGUGCAUAACAAACGCGCUGUCUUGACAUCACUAGCAUUGGCUUGAUGGUGAUUUCUACUCGAUUAUGUAUCCUUUGUGCUUCGGCUGAUUCUUUGUAUUUUUAUCUCUUUGAAAUUGUAAAUGUAGUGUCAUGCAUUAUCUAAGAACAACCAACAUUCUGGAAUAUAAACUGAAAUGACUCUGUUUUUCUUAUGCAGAGUUGUGUGUUUUGAAACUAUAACAUCAUGUAGAUCCCCAGGUUUAUUUUGUUCCGAUUCUUAUUGCACUUCUUCCUGGUUUACUCUUUUAUGAUUUUCACUUGGAUAAGUCUUUUAUGAUUACCAUCAAUACUACUUUUUUUCUUCUUCUGAAAAGUGUAUGUUUUAAAUUUGGGUUUUUGAUCUAUAAUUUGACAGUAAAUAAGUUUAGACAUUUCUGGCUAGCCUUCUACUCUUCUAAUGUUACAUGGGUUUUGUACGGAAAAAGUUUCCUUCUUUCUCAAUCAAAUUGCACCUAGAUCAUGAGACCUCUUGGAAGUUGGGAAGAAUAGAAACAUCAUAAGAAUUAGGGGAAAGAUACGGGAAAAAAAUUUGAUAAAAAAAAAUCAUAUUGCGAGUAAAUACAGAUGCGAUGUGGAGAGGCAUUAUAACACAAGAACUUUUUUCUUAUUAAGACUAUAUCUCAUAAAUGCACAUUGAACGGAUUGUGCCUCAAGCUUAUGACGUUCAAGAGGCAGUAACUGAAUAAUACAUACACAACAAAAAGUGUGGAUAUUAUGAUAAUUGGGCUGAGGUUAAAAAGAUGUUGGGCUGAGGUUAAAAAGAUGAAAGCAAGGUGUAUCAAAAUCUAGAACUUGAGAUAGAAGACGGUAAGCUUCAACCCAAAAUUUUGAUGGAACAGAGAGGCCUGAAGCAGUAAUGUUAAUGUUCAAGCAAGUUGGUGAAAUUGGAGAUGACUGCUUCUACAAUGAACAAAUUAAUGAUCUGCUGCUAUUGAUGAGUUGUUCGGGUUUUGAUUGAUUGUUCCUCCAAUUUCUCUUUGAUUUAAUGCAUAGUUUUUUAUGGACAAUUAUUCAUUUGAUAAUCAAGAAAUAAUUUUUUAAGUAAAAUAGUAUUCAGAUGUCUAUUGAGAUGUGUUUAUCUUGUUGCAGCAUGUUGGUUUUCAGAUAUCUCUAACAUUUGGCAAUUAAUAAAAUGGAUAAGAGCAAGGGCUACCUAUACAAAUCAAUUCCUUCAAUGAGUCGUCCAUAUUAUUUUUAUUUUCAGGCUUUGAUCACAUUACAUGCAAAUUGAGUUGUGGACUUGUUUUUCGGCAGUGUUUUGAAAAAACAAUCUCUAUCUUUCAUUAUUGAGUGGAGGCUGAGUUUGAUUUGGUGAUUUCUAUAAAAAAAGUUCUGAUUUUCAACAAUUCUUAAAUAAUAAUUAUCUUUCAAUAGAAUGGAGCAAGGCCGUCUCAAUUUUUUGGAGGCCCUGUGUAGAUUAGUUAUGGUUCAACCAUGACAAAAUAAUUAGAAGCCCUACUUGCCUCCAUUUUAACAGUGGCAAAUAUUUAUGAGGCCCUAUUUAGUUACGAUUAAAUCGUAAAAAAUUUGAGGCCCUGUGCGGUAGUCCGUCUUGCACGUCUUUAAAGACGGCCCUGGAAUGGGGCCUGAAUUUUUGAUUUGAUGAUUUCUUUUAAAAUCUUUCUGGUUUUCAAUAAUUCUUUAUUGUUGUUGGAAUCAUAUUUCUCUUAAUUUUUUUUUCUGGUGUUGCAGGAAAUAUAAUUUUGUGAACACACGUGUCUUGUUUUAUUUUCUGGAGGCUCUGAUACGAUAUUAGAAUGUGUGAGUUAGACCUAACUCAACUCUACGAAAUCGGCUAGUAGGGCGAGGAUUGCUCCCACUUAUAAACAUAUGUUCAGGCUAUAUAUUGUUAAAUGUGAGACUCUUAACACAUAUGAAUUGAAAAAUGAGUCUUUUUUUCUUCUUAGUUGUGUUUUGAAACAAUAAUUUUGUGUAUUGGAUAAGUCUUUUGAUUUUGAUGUUUAAUUGAAAGGGGUUCUUACCAUCAAUACUACUUUUUUCCUGCCAAAAUGUAUGUUCUAAAUUUGGGAUUUUGAUCUAUAAUUUGACAGAAAAAGUUUACACAUUUCUGGUGAGCCUUUGAGUGUUACAUGGGUUUGGUGUACUUAAAAAGUUUCCUUCUUUCUCAAUCACAUUGCACCUGUUUAAUUGGGUUACAAAAGUCUCCUUCAGCUUAUAUGUUUAUUUCACUUUAUUCUUUAUACCUAGAAAAUGAGAUUCAUCUUCCGAAGUGUAGAAAUCAGAGAUGGUAUUUUCUUCUCCUUAGACUCGUUGGAUGAAGUGGAGAUGUAGAGAUGAGCGCUUUUGAUGAUUUGUGCUACAUAUCUCUGAAAAAAUAAAAAGGACAUAUGGCCCAUAACUUUUUGUUAGUUAUUUUUAAAUUAUAUGUUCUUUUAGUUUUUAUGGGUUUGUGUCUAUUUGUAUCAGUUACUUGAGUUUUACUUUGGUUUUGGAGUAACACCGCUUUUCCGAAAAUGAGGAAUGCCUUCUGAAAUUCCAAGACUAGUUAUAAAAAUAAUUCAUGUUCAAAUAAAAUUUAGUUUGGUUUUUCCUUCAAAAACGACUUCUAAGAUUGCCAAAUGUUAAUCAACUAAUAAUAGAUUGUAACAUAUGACACAAGACAGGGGAAGGUUUCUCCAACAUAUAUUUGUAUUGCUUUUAUUCCUGCCUUGAUGGUAGCAGGACUUUACUUCUUUGAUCAUAGUGUUGCAACUGGGAUGGCACAGCAGAAAGAAUUCAAUCUCAAGAAAUCUUCUGCUUAUGAUUAUGACAUACUUUUAUUCGGAUUCAUGGUAUCUAUCGAUAUACACCAAUUACGUAACUCGUCAUCACUAAUAUAAUCAUACCUAAUUCUUUGUUAUGACUAAAACAUUUCAAACUUUGCUAUGUGGACUACUUGGAUUACCACCUUCAAUUGUUGUUCUUCCUCAAUUCCCUGUGCACACCUUGAGCCCUACAGUUCUCAAGGGUCUAAUGAUCAGAAGAAAAAAAAAGGUUGAAACUAUAAGAAAGAAAGCUAGUAACACUGAAAUCUACGGGAAGAUGCAAGCAUUGUUUGUAGAAAUGGACAAUAACUCUGUUACUUAUGUGGAAAGAGAAUUAGAGAACUUAAAAGAGGUAGUUCUAAAGGAGAAAUGGAUAUCUUGGAUAGGUUUUAUUUUCUUUGACUAUUUGCUUGUUGGGUACACUUUGGAAAGGGAGUGAUGAUAUUCUGUUAUUGUUUAUUGGUUUGAUUGUUAUUUGUGAUUUAUGAUUUGUACUCCUAAUAGUGUUGGGGGUUUUUGUAUCAAGAGGUCGAAUGUUGAAGCAUACAAGAUUCGUCUGCUAGCGCCAAGGUUGGAGAAUUUUGGAAAGCUUGGUUUGGCGCUGUUUUGUUCUAUUGGUUUUGCACAUCUUUUGUUAUAUUUUUUUCUUAUCAUUUGCUAUUUAUAAGAAUAGAAAUAUUUUCUCCCAAAACAUUAUCACUCAGAUUUGGAGUAUAGCUAUGGGAUGGGGCUUAAUCUACAAUUUCAUUUGGUGAUCUCUACUCCAAGUAUAAAUUUUUCACUUUUCUUUGUCUUAAUUUAAGGCCUAAUUUUCUCAAAUCAUUCAUGAGUUCUCUUCAUAUUGCUCGGUUUUUAUUGACGAUCUAGUUUCCUCGACUCUAUCAUGAGUUCCCCGUGGAUUUCACACAGGAAUACAUACUGUGAAGGCUGUAGCAGAGAUCAUCGUGGGCAUGGUUUUCUUCAUGUUACAGGGCUGAUAGGCUAUGAAUGUACUGUGGAAUUUGAAAACUAUCACAAACAUUAGUGAAGACAUGUUUCUAGCCUUUGGAUUUAACGGGGUCUUUGUGUUCAGAAUUAGAUUGUCAUCUUUUUUGCAGUACACAUCCCCUCUUUUUUGACAGUUGGUGGGAUAUGUGUCUGCUCUUGCAGUGAGUUGAUGUUUGGAUAUCUAGAAUGCUUGGUGAUAUGCUUAAAUCAGAUUUCUUCGAUGAUCUAUCCUAUGCUAUUUUUUAUUAUCGGGCCCUGUUCAUAGAAUAUACAAAGUGAAUUGCAAAUAUAAUUUUUUGCCGCAUUUGUUCUUAUUAGCAAUAGAGCCUAGUGUUUGAUUUAUGUGAUCUCUAGUAAAUUCUUUUUGUUUUAGUAUUUCUAUGUUGAUUAUGAGAGGCUAUAUUUCUUGAUAUGUUAUUUUCCUCAUUGGUAUUGCAAAAGAGGUAUUUUCCUCGGCUCUAUCUUCCUUUUUUUCCUUGGUUACUAUGGUCUCUAAGUCUCUUGACAUUGAGGUUUGUUUAGGUUAUUGAACUUUGCUCUUAAAUAUAAAUUUUCAAUUCUUUUUGAAUUUUUGCUUAAUUAUUUGCUGUAAUUCUUUAUUCAAUGAUUGAGCUAUGCUCUCAAAAAUAAAGGAAUAUUGAGAUAUGCAUUUAACCGUUCAGCGCCGAUGUGAUUUCUGGAUAUCUAAAUCAGGCCUUUACAUGAAUUAUGAAUUAUUUUCAUUUCUUCAGAUUUUUAUUGCACGACUUUUUGAUUUAUUCCUUAAUGAUUUGCACUUGGCUGUUUCAGUUGAGAAAGUUACAUUGAUGUUACUUAUUCUGACAGGGAAUAAGUUUCCAUAACGCCGGAGAAGUUGGGGCAGCUUGGUGAGCCUCUCUUUGUUAUGUUAAUUUGUGACUUGGUGGUUUGAAGAAUUAUGCAAUUAUUCUUUCUUUUUUCUUGGUUCUUUUUCUACAACUCAUUUGUCACAACGUAACAUUUUGUAUAUCUAUCGUGUUGAAUGAGUAACUGUUACACGGCUUUUGAUGUACUACAUGAAGUUGGGGUAGCAUGGUGGGCCUCUCUUUGUUAUGUUGAUCUGCGACUUGAGGGGUUUGAUGAAUUAUGCUAUAAUUAUUUCUUUCUUCUUGGUUCUUUUUCUACGAUCCAUUAGUCACAGCAUAAUUUUGUGUAUAUCUAUCAUGUGUUGACAGAGUAAAUGUUACCUGGGUUUUGACACUACAUAAAGAUUUAUAAUCAUACUGCUCUUUUUUAAUUCGUCAUCCGAAGCGGAAAAAUUGGAGACGAGUAUUUCUUCUGCUUUGUACUACUCUCCUUCUAUGGUUGAAUCAACAAGGGCAUGUGAACCAUAAUGAUAUCUGGAUGUGUGUUUCAAUUUGGUGAUCUCUACUCGUAUUAUGAAUUCUUUACAGUUCAGUAUUUUGUUUCAUCAUACACGCUUGAUUCCUAUCACCUUUGGGAUAAAAUUGUGCAUUUUUUUAUAAUACACAAUUCUUCCAAUUUUAUUUCUAUAUUCGUAACAUGAAUUUUACUCUAGUUUAAAGCAUACAAGAUUAUGAGGUAACUCCGCCCUUCCAAAAAUGAGGAAUUUUUGAUAAGUUGGUUAGAUGAGAUGAAAUUCUUUUACAUUUAUACUCAUAAAACAAUAUCUUCUUCGUUACAAUGGCCUAAGUAAGGUCUUUCUCUGUAUUAGGAGGUAGCUUAAAUUGUGAUGUUUCAUAUUGAGUACAAGAUCUUGUAGAUUGGAUGUAAAAACCAUCAUAUUUUGCAGACUGUUGCCAUACCUUAAAUCUACAAGAGCUCUACUAAGAAAGAUAUUUCAUAUUUACAUCUUUUUUAUUGGUAUUCCACAAUCACAUAAAUCUGAUCCAAGAAAUUUUCUGUGGUUGUUAUAGGGGAGAGACAUAAUGAAUUUUUGGUGUUCUGUGGCCUGUAGCAGGAAGUGGUUAUCAUAGUUUCAUUUCAAUCUUGGAUAAAUCUAGUCACUUUCUUACAAUGAAUUUUUGGUGUUCUUCGUUUUUUAAAUUUAACUGAUUCUUAAGAAUCUCAAUUUUAUUCAUGUGCAGUCUUGGUUACUUUACUCUUCUGUACAGGAGGAAUAGCUUGGUGGAAUCACUUUGUUUCGCUGAUCUUGUCUUGGUUUGCAAAAUUACAAUUCCCUUUUCCUCCUUUUUUGUUUACAUUUUUAUUACAGUUCCUUCUUUUUUAUUGACAUCUCUGUCACACUUGUGUAAGGAAGAAUAACUUGGUGGAAUUACUUUGUUCCGCUGACCUGCUUUUUAGUUUGCAAAAUUACUCUCGGCCAUUUUCCCCUUUUUUUAUUGGCAUCUGUCACAAUGAUGUAAGGUUCUAUUUUCUCAUCGUAAUGAGCAUGCUUUUAUUUAGAUGGAGAAAUUAGGAAUAGCUUGUUGUAAUCAAUUUCAUCCUCUGACCUGACACUUGGCUUAGAUUACUACACUUCUAGUUUCAUGUAAGCAACAGGCGAUCUUCUCGAGUUAAUCCUCGUCUUUUUUCACCUCAAAAAAUUCUUAGACAUGUAGGUUUGUGUAGUGAUAAUUCAACAUGUCAUGGUUUGGAAUCAUUCUCAAAUAUCAAUUGCUGUCUUCUUCUGUGGGUCUAAGUGUUAUGCAUUAUGUUUGAGAUAUUGAAGAUUUUUCCAGAUCAGGCCGUCUACCAAAUACUAUAACUGAGUGACCUAGUUAUUUCUAUCCCUUUGAGAGAAAUAUAAAUUUUGUACUUUUGAUUAUGUUUUUUAUUGUAGUUUUCUGGUUGUUGGUAUCUAUAGAGAAUGUUGCAUGGUGUGUUGUGGUGCAAGAUUUUUGGUGGAGAUUAUGGAUAACUUUUUGCAACUUGAUGUAUGUAUUUGUUUUGGAUUAUAGAUAAUUUUCUGAUGGUUUGAGCUAGCCUGCAGCUGUAAUCAGUAUUGGGAAAAAUAUAUAUUUUAGAAUUUUGGUCAGCUUCGAUGGACUUGGGGAUGUUUUUCUAUACCCUUCAUUUAUCCGGUGAUGUAAAUUGGUUUGAAUCUCUUCUCGAAGGUUGUUAUUUCUUUGUUAUUGCUGCAUAGAACACCACAUAUUUCUUAGUGCAUGCAUAACAAACACAGCGUCUUGACAUCACUAACAUUGGCUUGACGGUUAUUUCUACUCGGUUAUGUAUCCUUUGUGCUCGGCUGAUUCUUUGUAUUUUUAUCUCUUAGAAAAUGUAAAUGUAGUGUCAUGCAUUAUCUAAGAACAACCAAUAUUCUAGAAUAUAUCUCAUUGCUUAACCCAGAGUGAGGGGCUUCUAUCUUCGUUUCGAUGUAGAUCGCAUCGAGCUUGGUACACACUUUGCUCAGUAGCUAGAAACUGUGUGUUAACUCAUGUUUUUUGUGAGGUGUCUUAAUUACAAUAAUCAUGCACAUGUUUAUUCAUUAUGAUUUCUUUAGGCACACUCACAGUGAUAAUAGCAUUCUAUUCAAGUGUGGUUAAAAUGGACAAUGUAUGGCUGGCCGAGGCAGUUUUACCACCCCUACGUCUAUGCCAUUGAGUGAAGUUUGAAUGUCUAGAAUGUUUGGAAAUACUUAAUGUAAUGGAGAAGAAAGGAGAGUUCGUAUAAAUCAAAUAUCUUUAAUGAUUCAUCCUUCACUAUUUUUAUUUUCGGGUUCUAUUUGUAAGACAUAAGUUGAUUUGUGAACUUACUCAAUAAUGUAAGACAAAGUAUUGUACUUAUCACAGAGCCUCAACUUUGAUUUGGUGAUCUCUAGUAAAUUCUUUUACUUCAAGUAUUCUUUAAAUCCUGAAAGGCAUAUAUUUGUUGAUUUGUUAUUUUUGCUUUUGGUGUUGCUGAUGAACACACAAUUCCUUUUAGUUCAUCUUUCUCUUAUUUGUUAUUCAAGUUCUUGCAUUCUCAAUAUUUUCCCUUGGUUGCUUUGGUUUCUUGAUAUUGCUGUCUUAUUUGGUUCUUGAUGGUAUCGAUAUUGACGAGCUGUUCGGGUUUUGAUUGAUUGUUCUUCCAAUUUCUUUGAUUUUUAUGGACAAUUAUUCAUUUGAUAUUCAAGUAUUAACGUAAAAUAUUGAGAUGUGUUUAUCCUUGUCGAACAUGUUGAUUUUUAGAUAUAUCAUUUGUCAAAUCUUUAUGAAGUGGAUAAGAACAAGGGCUACUGAUAUAAAAAUCAAUUCCUUCAAUAAGUCAUUCUCUAUUAUUUUUAUUUUCAGGCUUUGAUCAUAUUACAUAUAAAAUUGAAUUGUGAACUUGUUUUUCUGCAGCAGUUUGCAAAAAUAAUCUCUAUCUUUCAUUAUGGAGUGGAGCCUCUGAGUUUUGAUUCGGUGAUUUCCUUAAAAAAAAUUCUGGUUUUCAUCAAUAUUUAAAAAAUAACUAUCUUACAAUAGAGUGGAUCGUCUGAAUUUUGAUUUGAUGAUUUCUUUUAAAAUCUUUCUGGUUUUCAACAAUUCUUUAUCGCAAUUGAAACCAUAUUUUUCUUAAUUUUUUAUUUUCUUUGGUGCUGCAGGAAAGGUAAAAAUUUUAACAGAUGUACCUUCUUGUUUUAUUUUCUUUUGUUUGGUAUUCAUGUUUUGUAUUUGCUUCUGGUAUUGAUCGCCAUACAUAUAAACUGAAAUGACUAUUUUUUCUUAUGCAGAGUUGUGUGUUUUGUUCCGAUUCUUAUUGCACUUCUUCCUGGUUUACUCUUUUAUGAUUUCCACUUGGAUAAGUCUUUUGAUUUUGAUGUUUAAUUGAAUUGUUCAGCCUUAGGGGUUUUUACCAUCAAUACCACUUUUUUUUCUCUAAAGUGUAUGUUCUAAAUUUGGGUUUUUGAUCUAUAAUUUGACAGUAAAAAAGUUUAGCAUUUCUGGUGAGCCUUCUAUGCUUCUAGCGUUACAUGUGUUUGGUUACUUAAAAAGUUUCCUUCUUGUUCAGCCUUUGAAUUUUCUUGGUGGGUGUUAUAGGGGAGAGACAGGAUGAAUUUGUGGUGUUCUGUGGCCUGUGGUAAGCAGAGGCUAUCAUAUUGUCCUUUCAACCUUGGAAUAAAUCCAGUCACUUUCUUACAAUGUGUUUAUUUUGGGAUUGAGGAUACUUGUUCUCUGAUGGUGUGUCUAGGUAGUAUUGGAGUUUGUGUUUUUGUAUUAAGAACUGGAACGUUGAAGCAUAUGAGAUUCUAAAGUAUAUCUUUUUGCCUGCACUAAAGAUGAGGAAUUCAGGAGGCUUGGUUUUUUGUUUGGUUAGUUUUCAUCUUUCUUUAUUCUAUCCUUGAUUUUUAAGUUUAAUUGAUUCUUGGGAGACAAGGGAGACAGUCCAUGAAUUUAAUGGUGAGUUAUGGUCUGUGGCAAGUAGAGGUUACCAUACUGUCCAUUCAACUUUGGGAUAAAACCUGUCAUUUUUACAUAUUCCUUUUGGGAUUGGGAAUAUUUGUCCUUUGAUGGUGUGUCCUGGUAGAUUGGAGUUUGUGUUUUUUUAUCAGGAACGUACGGAAAAUGAGGAAUUCAGGAGGCUUGGUGCUCUCUUCUAUUCUGUUGGUUUUCAUCUUUCUUGUUAUAUACUUUGUUUUUAAUAUUUAAUUGAUUCUUAAGAAUCUCUAUUUUAUUUUAUGUGCAGUCUUGGCCACUAUACUCUUCUGGAAAGGAGGAAUAGCUUGGUGGAAUCACUUUGUUCCGCUGACCUCAUCUUGGUUUGCAAAAUUACCCUUCCCUUCUUUUCUUUUUAUUAAUGACAUCUGUCAGUGGUUUAAGGAAGAAUUGGUUUGCUCCGCUGAUUUGCGUCUUGGUUUGCUAAAUUACACUUGGGCACCCUUCUCCCCUUUUUUUACUGACAUCUCUGUCAUAGUGCUAUAAGGUUCUAUUUUCUCGGCAUAUUGAGUAUGCUUUUCUGUCGAUGGAGGAAUUCGAAAUAGCUUGUUGUAAUUACUUUGUGCAGCAAUAAUUCAAUAUGUCAUGGUUUGGUAUCA